AUUCCAGCUCCAAUAGCGUAUAUUAAAGUUGUUGCAGUUAAAAAGCUCGUAGUCUGAGUCUUGGUCUGGUGAAUGAGCGUCCACGGUGUAUUUGGAUUUGUUUUCAUUGCAUUGUGCGCAUGCGAAUCACUGGCCGAUUUUGUACUUCGGAGGAACUUUUCAUGCUUUUCAUUAAGUGUGGAUUGGGAUUCCGAUAGUUUACUUUGAGAAAAAUAGAGUGUUCAAAGCAGGCGUUUAUUUGCCGUUGAAUACAUUAGCAUGGGAUAAUGGAAUAGGACAUUGGUUCUAUUUUGUUGGUUUACGGACCGAUGUAAUGAUUAAUAGGAACAGUUGGGGACAUUUAUAUUCCAUGGCUAGAGUUUUCAUCA
Molecule: ribosomal RNA, 368 nt
Filed under: Pterocystida sp.
Lineage: Eukaryota; Centroplasthelida; Pterocystida
Description: partial small subunit ribosomal RNA
Rfam family: Eukaryotic small subunit ribosomal RNA
Source: RNAcentral